Molecule: non-coding RNA, 817 nt
Organism: Chelonoidis abingdonii (Abingdon island giant tortoise)
Lineage: Eukaryota; Metazoa; Chordata; Testudines; Testudinidae
Source: RefSeq, a predicted model, not a curated record
GUUGCAAAGAGAACAAGGGUUAUAGUCUAAUGUCCAAUAUCACCUUCAGAGAGUACCAGCAUAACUGCGACCUCAAUCUUGUGACUUAAACUUCCCCGAUGAAGUUUAAGCAGAUCUGAGAUAACAGAAUCUGGACCCAACCAUCUUUUAUUCAGUGUUCUAGCAUCAGCUUGACCACACAGUCCUGGGUAAACAAUAAGCUUUUGAUGUAACCUGCUGCUUCCUAAACACCACCAGUAAUUGGUUACACAAAUUAACAUAGGGCAAUUUAUCCAUUAGGCAGUCUAUCACAGACUUCAGAGACAUUGACAUUAUUUCACCCAAGAUUCAUCUAAAUGUUAAUAUUCCCUUUUGAUUGCUGACUUAGUAGCUAUAAUGGCAGACAGGAACUGUCCAUUUACACAGGUAGCAUCUAAGAUGCACACAAUUAAUAAUACCUCUAAUUUCUAACAACAUAGGCUAGAACUUUAAAAUGCAAACCUAUUUAGCAUGCAAUGGCCCUAAUUAACAUUUCUAACAUGUCUUUAAAGGUCUGCUUUGGGUUAGUUAGCCUGCAAGCUGUUUAAUUCUUUCUGGCCAUGAGUUAUAUUUUGUGUAAGAUUUGUCACAAUUAUAUAACAGUGGAAGCAAUAAUUAUUUGCAUGGUUAUAUUUUAAUCAGACAACAUCAGUCAUCCUAAAUUUUCAAAAGUUAUUAGAAGACGAAUUGGUAAAAACAACCCAAAUGUGCACAAUUUUACUCUACAGUUGUAUUUAUUUUGGGGGAGGGGGGAGUGUUUUGUUUCAGAGAAGUCUUAAAUGGAUUAAGAAUUUUUUAU